CAGCGCCUUGCAUCCCACCCCCACCCUGAGACACACACACACACACACACACACACACGCACAUGCACACGCACACCCAUACCCCUUACGCAGAGGAAGGCCGGCAGAUAAAUAAAUGCCUGGAAACCUGCAUAUGCACACAGAGACCCCAGAACCAUAAAUGCAACCCUCCUCUCACUCACACAUGCAUUUGCCUCCAAGGGGAACCAGGGAUAUUGACUCUAAUUACUAAGCAAAGUGGCGUGUGCGAUAGAGAGGAACUAGCGAGUGAAUAGAGCGGAGAAAGCUGCAGUGACGGGAACAGGCAGGGCUGGGGGCUGCCAGGUCAGGAGGUGUGCAGGGGAGCGUUGCCCAUCCGAGACUCGGAGCAGCAAUAAGCCACAGCAACAGCCCAGGGGGACCCACAGCAAUAGGAGGGAAGGAAGAUCUCGGAAGAGGAGGCAGGCGGACCCAUGCUUGGUGUGUUGCAGGAGCCCUGGAGUCCUAGAUCCCAGAUACUGAAUGACCCACAGGCUGGGGAGAGAUCUGUCCGGGCUCAGUCUUUUCUAGGCUGGCAUCAGGAAGAGGUAUAUAUGUACAAUGGAGUGGGAGAUCCAAGCAGAAAAGGGCCACAGGCCUCCUUGGAGCUGGACAUGUUGCUUUCUCCACUGAUCAGUCAUCCAGUCUUGGACCAUCCCAAGACUAAGAAGGCACCUUUCUGAAGUGAAAGGGCAGCUUCCAACACAUUCUCUUCAUCAUUUCAAGGACAGUGGAGCACUUCUUGCUCAUUUAUGUAGGAGGAAAUUGGGAUGAAGACUAGGUAAGGAACUUCUCCCCAAACAGCCUGCCUACGGAAGGCAUCUUGACCAACUCA
RNAcentral lists this long non-coding RNA (853 nucleotides) under Phascolarctos cinereus (koala). RNAcentral describes it as "lncRNA (ENSPCIG00000032432.1)". The record is from RNAcentral. Lineage: Eukaryota; Metazoa; Chordata; Mammalia; Diprotodontia; Phascolarctidae.